RNAcentral lists this ribosomal RNA (505 nucleotides) under uncultured bacterium. RNAcentral's name for it is "partial 16S ribosomal RNA". It matches the Rfam family "Bacterial small subunit ribosomal RNA", at positions 29 to 523 of the family's 1533-position model. The record is from RNAcentral.
AGUGAACGCUGGCGGUAGGCCUAACACAUGCAAGUCGAACGGCAGCACAGGAGAGCUUGCUCUCUGGGUGGCGAGUGGCGGACGGGUGAGGAAUACAUCGGAAUCUACUCUGUCGUGGGGGAUAACGUAGGGAAACUCACGCUAAUACCGCAUACGACCUACGGGUGAAAGCAGGGGACCUUCGGGCCUUGCGCGAUUGAAUGAGCCGAUGUCGGAUUAGCUAGUUGGCGGGGUAAAGGCCCACCAAGGCGACGAUCCGUAGCUGGUCUGAGAGGAUGAUCAGCCACACUGGAACUGAGACACGGUCCAGACUCCUACGGGAGGCAGCAGUGGGGAUAUUGGACAAUGGGCGCAAGCCUGAUCCAGCCAUACCGCGUGGGUGAAGAAGGCCUUCGGGUUGUAAAGCCCUUUUGUUGGGAAAGAAAUCCAGCUGGCUAAUACCCGGUUGGGAUGACGGUACCCAAAGAAUAAGCACCGGCUAACUUCGUGCCAGCCGCCGCAGUAA